GACGAACGCUGGCGGCGUGCUUAACACAUGCAAGUCGAACGGAAAGGCCCUGCUUUUGUGGGGUGCUCGAGUGGCGAACGGGUGGGUAACACGUGAGUAACCUGCCCUUGACUUUGGGAUAACUUCAGGAAACUGGGGCUAAUACCGGAUAGGAGCUCCUGCUGCAUGGUGGGGGUUGGAAAGUUUCGGCGGUUGGGGAUGGACUCGCGGCUUAUCAGCUUGUUGGUGGGGUAGUGGCUUACCAAGGCUUUGACGGGUAGCCGGCCUGAGAGGGUGACCGGCCACAUUGGGACUGAGAUACGGCCCAGACUCCUACGGGAGGCAGCAGUGGGGAAUAGUGCACAAUGGGCGGAAGCCUGAUGCAGCAACGCCGCGUGCGGGAUGACGGCCUUCGGGUUGUAAACCGCUUUCGCCUGUGACGAAGCGUGAGUGACGGUAAUGGGUAAAGAAGCACCGGCUAACUACGUG
This 468-nucleotide ribosomal RNA is filed under the name uncultured bacterium. RNAcentral describes it as "partial 16S ribosomal RNA". It matches the Rfam family "Bacterial small subunit ribosomal RNA", at positions 28 to 507 of the family's 1533-position model. The record is from RNAcentral.